GUAGUCCACGCCCUAAACGAUGCCAACUAGGUGUUGGGGAAGGAGACUUCCUUAGUACCGUAGCUAACGCGUGAAGUUGGCCGCCUGGGGAGUACGGUCGCAAGAUUAAAACUCAAAGGAAUUGACGGGGACCCGCACAAGCGGUGGAUGAUGUGGAUUAAUUCGAUGCAACGCGAAAAACCUUACCUACCCUUGACAUGUCAGGAACUUUCCAGAGAUGGAUUGGUGCUCGAAAGAGAGCCUGAACACAGGUGCUGCAUGGCUGUCGUCAGCUCGUGUCGUGAGAUGUUGGGUUAAGUCCCGCAACGAGCGCAACCCUUGUCAUUAAUUGCCAUCAUUCAGUUGGGCACUUUAAUGAGACUGCCGGUGACAAACCGGA
This 379-nucleotide ribosomal RNA is filed under the name uncultured bacterium. Its description in RNAcentral is "bacterial SSU rRNA". It matches the Rfam family "Bacterial small subunit ribosomal RNA", at positions 790 to 1167 of the family's 1533-position model. The record is from RNAcentral.